GCGUCGGUGGUUCAGUGGUAGAUACUCGCCUGCCACGCGCGUGGCCCGGGUUCGAUUCCCGGCAGCGGCG
Molecule: transfer RNA, 70 nt
Filed under: Ixodes scapularis (black-legged tick)
Lineage: Eukaryota; Metazoa; Arthropoda; Arachnida; Ixodida; Ixodidae
Rfam family: tRNA
About the family: Transfer RNA (tRNA) molecules are approximately 80 nucleotides in length. Their secondary structure includes four short double-helical elements and three loops (D, anti-codon, and T loops).
Source: Rfam by way of RNAcentral